RNAcentral lists this ribosomal RNA (245 nucleotides) under uncultured bacterium. RNAcentral's name for it is "partial 16S ribosomal RNA". It matches the Rfam family "Bacterial small subunit ribosomal RNA", at positions 524 to 768 of the family's 1533-position model. The record is from RNAcentral.
UACGUAGGUGGCGAGCGUUGUCCGGAUUUACUGGGCGUAAAGCGCGCGCAGGCGGCAGUCUAAGUCCUCUGUGAAAUCACCCGGCUUAACUGGGUGGCUGCGGAGGAGACUGGGCAGCUUGAGGGGCCUAGAGGCCGGUGGAACUCCCGGUGUAGUGGUGAAAUGCGUAGAGAUCGGGAAGAACACCAGUGGCGAAGGCGGCCGGCUGGGGGCGCCCUGACGCUGAGGCGCGAGAGCGUGGGGAG